This 760-nucleotide ribosomal RNA is filed under the name uncultured bacterium. RNAcentral's name for it is "bacterial SSU rRNA". It matches the Rfam family "Bacterial small subunit ribosomal RNA", at positions 28 to 774 of the family's 1533-position model. The record is from RNAcentral.
GAUGAACGCUAGCUACAGGCUUAACACAUGCAAGUCGAGGGGCAGCAUUGGGGUAGCAAUACUUCAGAUGGCGACCGGCGCACGGGUGAGUAACACGUAUCCAACCUGCCGCUUACUCGGGGAUAGCCUUUCGAAAGAAAGAUUAAUACCCGAUGGUAUAAAGAGUUCGCAUGUUCUCUUUAUUAAAGAAUUUCGGUAAGCGAUGGGGAUGCGUUCCAUUAGAUAGUUGGCGGGGUAACGGCCCACCAAGUCUACGAUGGAUAGGGGUUCUGAGAGGAAGGUCCCCCACAUUGGAACUGAGACACGGUCCAAACUCCUACGGGAGGCAGCAGUGAGGAAUAUUGCGCAAUGGGGGCAACCCUGACGCAGCAACGCCGCGUGAGUGAGGAAGGUUUUCGGACCGUAAAGCUCUGUCGAGCGGGAAGAAAUGCAUGGUGGCUAAUAUCCAUCAUGCUUGACGGUACCGCUAAAGGAAGCACCGGCUAACUCCGUGCCAGCAGCCGCGGUAAUACGGGGGGUGCAAGCGUUGUUCGGAAUUAUUGGGCGUAAAGAGCGUGUAGGCGGCUGAAUAAGUCAGAUGUGAAAUCCCUGGGCUUAACCCAGGACGUGCAUUUGAAACUAUUCAGCUUGAGUAAGGGAGAGGAAAGUGGAAUUCCUGGUGUAGAGGUGAAAUUCGUAGAUAUCAGGAGGAACACCGGUGGCGAAGGCGACUUUCUGGCCCUAUACUGACGCUGAGACGCGAGAGCGUGGGUAGCAAACA